CACCGGCGCCCCGAGUGGCACUCGCGAUUAUUGGGCCUAAAGCGUCCGUAGCCGGACGGGUAAAUCCGCUGUGAAAUCGUGGCGCUCAACGUUACGGCGCGCAGCGGACACUGCCAGUCUCGGGACCGGGAGAGGCUAGAGGUAUGCCGUGGGGAACGGUAAAAUGUGAUAAUCCACGGUAGACCACCAAUGGCGAAGGCAUCUAGCCAGAACGGAUCCGACGGUGAGGGACGAAAGCCAGGGGAGCGAACCG
This 253-nucleotide ribosomal RNA is filed under the name uncultured archaeon. RNAcentral's name for it is "partial 16S ribosomal RNA". It matches the Rfam family "Archaeal small subunit ribosomal RNA", at positions 474 to 726 of the family's 1478-position model. The record is from RNAcentral.